UACAAUGUUUUGACUCUUCGUCUUAUUUAAAUUUUUUUAGAUUAAUAUUUUUAUUGUUACUAGAUGAUAAAAUAUGAAUAAUACUUUAUGCAUGUCUAAGUUUUUUAUAAAUUUUUUAAAUAAGACGAAUGGUCAAACGUUGGACACGGAAAAAC
RNAcentral lists this microRNA precursor (155 nucleotides) under Oryza brachyantha (malo sina). RNAcentral describes it as "MIR812 microRNA precursor family". It matches the Rfam family "MIR812 microRNA precursor family", at positions 27 to 190 of the family's 205-position model. The record is from Rfam by way of RNAcentral. Lineage: Eukaryota; Viridiplantae; Streptophyta; Magnoliopsida; Poales; Poaceae.